UACAGAGGUCUCAAGCAUUGUUCGGAUUCAUUGGGCGUAAAGGGUGUGUAGGUGGCGCGCUAAGUCGGGUGUGAAAUUUCGGAGCUUAACUUCGAAACUGCAUUCGAUACUGGCGUGCUUGAGGACCGGAGAGGAUAGUGGAAUUCCCAGUGUAGUGGUGAAAUACGUAGAGAUUGGGAAGAACACCAGUGGCGAAGGCGGCUAUCUGGACGGUUUCUGACGCUAAGACGCGAAAGCGUGGGGAGCAAACAGG
Molecule: ribosomal RNA, 253 nt
Filed under: uncultured bacterium
Lineage: Bacteria
Description: partial 16S ribosomal RNA
Rfam family: Bacterial small subunit ribosomal RNA
Source: RNAcentral